AUACGUAGGUGACAAGCGUUAUCCGGAUUUACUGGGCGUAAAGGGCGUGUAGGCGGUCUUGCAAGUCAGAAGUGAAAUUCCUGAGCUCAACUCGGGCGCUGCUUCUGAAACUGCAGGACUUGAGUGCUGGAGGGGAUAGCGGAAUUCCUAGUGGAGCGGUAAAAUGCGCAGAUAUUAGGAAGAACACCGGUGGCGAAGGCGGCUAUCUGGACAGUAACUGACGCUGAGGCGCGAAAGCGUGGGGAGCAAACAGGAUUAGAUACCCUGGUAGUCCGCACAGUAAACGAUGUGCACCAGGUGGCGGGGGGUCGACCCUCGGUACCGGAGUUAACACAAUAAGUAUCCCACCUGGGGAGUACGGCCGCAAGGUUGAAACUCAAAUGAAUUGACGGGG
RNAcentral lists this ribosomal RNA (394 nucleotides) under uncultured bacterium. Its description in RNAcentral is "partial 16S ribosomal RNA". It matches the Rfam family "Bacterial small subunit ribosomal RNA", at positions 523 to 918 of the family's 1533-position model. The record is from RNAcentral.